AUUCCGCGUGAGUGAAGAAGGCCUUCGGGUUGUAAAGCUCUUCAGCAGGAACGAAACGGUGGCCACUAAUACUGGCUACUAAUGACGGUACCUGAAGAAGAAGCACCGGCUAACUACGUGCCAGCAGCCGCGGUAAUACGUAGGGUGCGAGCGUUAAUCGGAAUUACUGGGCGUAAAGCGUGCGCAGGCGGUUCCAUAAGACAGAUGUGAAAUCCCCGGGCUUAACCUGGGAACUGCGUUUGUGACUGUGGGACUCGAGUGUGGCAGAGGGGGGUGGAAUUCCACGUGUAGCAGUGAAAAUGCGUAGAGAUGUGGAGGAACACCGAUGGCGAAGGCAGCCCCCUGGGUCAACACUGACGCUCAUGCACGAAAGCGUGGGGAGCAAACAGGAUUAGAUACCCUGGUAGUCCACGCCCUAAACGAUGCGAACUAGGUGUUGGGGAAGGAGACUUUCUUAGUACCGCAGCUAACGCGUGAAGUUCGCCGCCUGGGGAGUACGGCCGCAAGGUUAAAAACUCAAAGGAAUUGACGGGG
Molecule: ribosomal RNA, 534 nt
Filed under: uncultured bacterium
Lineage: Bacteria
Description: bacterial SSU rRNA
Rfam family: Bacterial small subunit ribosomal RNA
Source: RNAcentral